Molecule: non-coding RNA, 471 nt
Organism: Equus quagga
Lineage: Eukaryota; Metazoa; Chordata; Mammalia; Perissodactyla; Equidae
Source: the annotation of a RefSeq genome assembly
CCUGCCAUGGCCUCCAGGCUCCUGUGCUGUGUGGCCCUUUGUGUCCUGGGAACAGGCCCAGUGGAUUCUGGAGUCAUCCAAACACCAAGACACCUGAUUAAAGCAAGAGGACAGCAAGUGACAAUGAGAUGUUCCCCUAUCUCUGGGCACAAAAGUGUAUCUUGGUACCAAGAGGUACUGGGCCAGGGCCCCCAGUUCCUCGUUCAGUAUUACAAUAGGAGAGAGAAUGAAAAAGGAGACAUCUCGGAUAGAUUCUCAGGGGAGCAGUUCAGUAACUAUAGUUCUGAGCUGAACGUGAGCAUCCUGGAGCUGACAGACUCGGCCCUGUACCUCUGUGCCAGCAGCGUAGCACAGCCCUGCAGAGUCACCAGUGUUCUGUGCACAAACCUCCCUGCCCCAGCGUGGAGCAACCUCAGAGCUGACAGAUUUGUGAAGACCUCGGGGCUGCAGUGGGAGAGAAAAACGAGUUAG